AGCAUAUAGUUUAUAAAAAAUUUAAAUUUUGGAAAUUUAUGAAGGAAGAAAUUUCUUUGCUGAA
This 64-nucleotide transfer RNA is filed under the name Peuceptyelus minutus. Its description in RNAcentral is "tRNA-Pro". The record is from RNAcentral. Lineage: Eukaryota; Metazoa; Arthropoda; Insecta; Hemiptera; Aphrophoridae.